RNAcentral lists this ribosomal RNA (403 nucleotides) under uncultured bacterium. RNAcentral's name for it is "partial 16S ribosomal RNA". It matches the Rfam family "Bacterial small subunit ribosomal RNA", at positions 30 to 526 of the family's 1533-position model. The record is from RNAcentral.
AUUGAACGCUGGCGGCAGGCCUAACACAUGCAAGUCGAGCGAGCGGCGGACGGGUGAGUAAUGUAUGGGGACUGCCCGAUCGAGGGGGAUAAGUACGGGAAACGGUGGCUAAUACCGCAUACUAUCGGAUAACCCAUAUGGGAUUAGCUAGUCGGUGUGGUAAAGGCUCACCUAGGCGACGAUUCCUAGCUGGUCUGAGAGGAUGAUCAGCCACACUGUGACUGAGACACGGCCCAGACUCUUCCGGAGGCAGCAGUGGGGAAUAUUCAACAAUGGGCGCAAUCCUGACACAGCCAUGCCGCGUGUAUGAAGAAGGCUUUAGGGUUGUAAAGUACUGUAAGCGGGGAGGCGUUACCCGCAGAAGAAGCCCCGGCUAACUCCGUGCCAGCAGCCGCGGUAAUAC